This is a non-coding RNA of Butyricimonas synergistica, 73 nucleotides long. NCBI's taxonomy places the organism in Bacteria, Pseudomonadati, Bacteroidota, Bacteroidia, Bacteroidales, Odoribacteraceae. The record is from Rfam.
GGUACCAUAGCUCAGUUGGUAGAGCAAAGGACUGAAAAUCCUUGUGUCCCCGGUUCGAUUCCAGUUGGCACCA